Pelobates cultripes (western spadefoot toad) is the source of this 294-nucleotide non-coding RNA. The record is from the annotation of a GenBank genome assembly. NCBI's taxonomy places the organism in Eukaryota, Metazoa, Chordata, Amphibia, Anura, Pelobatidae.
AAAGUAAAAUGAAUUCACUGCUUUAUUAAGUUAAACUUAUAAGAUGUAAGCGUUAAACAGGAAUUAAUGCAUCACAUCUUAAUAAGACUUCCUUAAGAGGAAUCCAAAUACAUGCAGGAUACAAUAAACACUACAACCCACUCCCUUAUAAAACCCAUAGAGUCUCUCAUGCGACUUCUCUCUUCCAAUUCUGAAUUUAGGUGUCCAGCUGUUACAAUUUUCCUACUUUGAUUUUGUUCCAAGGAUGAUUUUGGCUCAAUUUCCGGGUUUGUGUCAUGUCAUGUAACGCAUGUG